This 464-nucleotide ribosomal RNA is filed under the name Vreelandella stevensii. RNAcentral's name for it is "partial 16S ribosomal RNA". It matches the Rfam family "Bacterial small subunit ribosomal RNA", at positions 338 to 795 of the family's 1533-position model. Lineage: Bacteria; Pseudomonadati; Pseudomonadota; Gammaproteobacteria; Oceanospirillales; Halomonadaceae. The record is from RNAcentral.
CCUACGGGAGGCAGCAGUGGGGAAUAUUGGACAAUGGGGGGAACCCUGAUCCAGCCAUGCCGCGUGUGUGAAGAAGGCCCUCGGGUUGUAAAGCACUUUCAGUGAGGAAGAACGCCUGGUGGUUAAUACCCAUCAGGAAAGACAUCACUCACAGAAGAAGCACCGGCUAACUCCGUGCCAGCAGCCGCGGUAAUACGGAGGGUGCGAGCGUUAAUCGAAUUACUGGGCGUAAAGCGCGCGUAGGUGGCUUGAUAAGCCGGUUGUGAAAGCCCCGGGCUCAACCUGGGAACGGCAUCCGGAACUGUCAAGCUAGAGUGCAGGAGAGGAAGGUAGAAUUCCCGGUGUAGCGGUGAAAUGCGUAGAGAUCGGGAGGAAUACCAGUGGCGAAGGCGGCCUUCUGGACUGACACUGACACUGAGGUGCGAAAGCGUGGGUAGCAAACAGGAUUAGAUACCCGAGUAGUC